This 658-nucleotide ribosomal RNA is filed under the name Vibrio navarrensis. RNAcentral's name for it is "bacterial SSU rRNA". It matches the Rfam family "Bacterial small subunit ribosomal RNA", at positions 329 to 979 of the family's 1533-position model. The record is from RNAcentral. Lineage: Bacteria; Pseudomonadati; Pseudomonadota; Gammaproteobacteria; Vibrionales; Vibrionaceae.
GUCCAGACUCCUACGGGAGGCAGCAGUGGGGAAUAUUGCACAAUGGGCGCAAGCCUGAUGCAGCCAUGCCGCGUGUGUGAAGAAGGCCUUCGGGUUGUAAAGCACUUUCAGUUGUGAGGAAGGUGGUGUUGUGAAUAGCGGCAUCAUUUGACGUUAGCAACAGAAGAAGCACCGGCUAACUCCGUGCCAGCAGCCGCGGUAAUACGGAGGGUGCGAGCGUUAAUCGGAAUUACUGGGCGUAAAGCGCAUGCAGGUGGUUUGUUAAGUCAGAUGUGAAAGCCCCGGGCUCAACCUGGGAAUUGCAUUUGAAACUGGCAAACUAGAGUACUGUAGAGGGGGGUAGAAUUUCAGGUGUAGCGGUGAAAUGCGUAGAGAUCUGAAGGAAUACCGGUGGCGAAGGCGGCCCCCUGGACAGAUACUGACACUCAGAUGCGAAAGCGUGGGGAGCAAACAGGAUUAGAUACCCUGGUAGUCCACGCUGUAAACGAUGUCUACUUGGAGGUUGUGGCCUUGAGCCGUGGCUUUCGGAGCUAACGCGUUAAGUAGACCGCCUGGGGAGUACGGUCGCAAGAUUAAAACUCAAAUGAAUUGACGGGGGCCCGCACAAGCGGUGGAGCAUGUGGUUUAAUUCGAUGCAACGCGAAGAACCUUACCUACU